Molecule: unclassified non-coding RNA, 338 nt
Filed under: soil metagenome
Description: partial contains 5.8S ribosomal RNA, internal transcribed spacer 2, and large subunit ribosomal RNA
Rfam family: 5.8S ribosomal RNA (bases 1-120)
Source: RNAcentral
GAUGAAUAACGUAGCGAAAUGCGAUACGUAGUGUGAAUUGCAGAAUUCAGUGAAUCAUCGAAUCUUUGAACGCACAUUGCGCCCUUUGGUAUUCCAAAGGGCAUGCCUGUUCGAGCGUCAUUUGUACCCUCAAGCUUUGCUUGGUGUUGGGCGUCUUGUCUCCAGUCCGCUGGAGACUCGCCUUAAAGUCAUUGGCAGCCGGCCUACUGGUUUCGGAGCGCAGCACAAGUCGCACUCUUUUCCAGCCAAGGUCAGUGUCCAACAAGCCUUUUUUCAACUUUUGACCUCGGAUCAGGUAGGGAUACCCGCUGAACUUAAGCAUAUCAAUAAGCGGAGGA